Molecule: ribosomal RNA, 467 nt
Filed under: uncultured bacterium
Lineage: Bacteria
Description: partial 16S ribosomal RNA
Rfam family: Bacterial small subunit ribosomal RNA
Source: RNAcentral
GAUGAACGCUGGCGGCGCGCCUAACACAUGCAAGUCGAACGAUUAAAGCACCUUCGUGUGUGUAUAAAGUGGCGAACGGCUGAGUAACACGUGGGCCACCUGCCCCUUUCAUUGGGAUAGCCACGGGAAACCGUGGAUAAUCCCGAAUACUUCGAGACUUCCGCAUGGAAGACUCGAGCAAUCUCCGGCGGAGGGGGAUGGGCCCGCGGCCUGUUAGCUUGUUGGUGGGGUAACGGCCUACCAAGGGAAUGACGGGUAGCUGAGUUGAGGGACCGAACAGCCAGAGUGGGACUGAGACACGGCCCAGACUGCUACGGGAGGCAGCAGUGGGGAAUCUUGCACAAUGGGCGAAAGCCUGAUGCGGCGACGCCGCGUGCGGGAUGAAGGCCUUCGGGUUGUAAACCGCUUUCAGCAGGGACGAGGCGAAAGUGACGGUACCUGCAGAAGAAGCCCCGGCUAACUACGUG